RNAcentral lists this long non-coding RNA (283 nucleotides) under Solanum tuberosum (potato). RNAcentral describes it as "long non-coding RNA (STUB_LNC003291)". Lineage: Eukaryota; Viridiplantae; Streptophyta; Magnoliopsida; Solanales; Solanaceae. The record is from RNAcentral.
AACAUAGCGACUGCAACAAAUACUAGCAAAGAGAAGAUAAUCUUUUUUUUAAUCAUAAAAUGUCCAGGACAACACCAGUACAACUACCAUAGCAAGGAAGUUCAGUUAUAGACUCAAGAAAGACACUGGAGGAUCAUACAUUAACCUCCAUCACAGAAGAGGACAUGUUUCCAUCACAAACGUUACGAUACAGCCAACCGGAGAAAAACUGCAUUACAGUUCUAAAAGAACAUAAGUAGCCAAUUUUAUCAGCUUAUUGAAGACGCAGCUUGCCAGUUUAUUU